UCUUGAUCAAGAGACGGCUCUGGC
Molecule: microRNA, 24 nt
Filed under: Brachypodium distachyon (stiff brome)
Lineage: Eukaryota; Viridiplantae; Streptophyta; Magnoliopsida; Poales; Poaceae
Description: bdi-miR7761-3p
Source: miRBase by way of RNAcentral